Molecule: ribosomal RNA, 799 nt
Filed under: uncultured Proteiniphilum sp.
Lineage: Bacteria; Pseudomonadati; Bacteroidota; Bacteroidia; Bacteroidales; Dysgonomonadaceae
Description: bacterial SSU rRNA
Rfam family: Bacterial small subunit ribosomal RNA
Source: RNAcentral
AGAGUUUGAUUAUGGCUCAGGAUGAACGCUAGCGAUAGGCCUAACACAUGCAAGUCGAGGGGCAGCACAUGAAGUAGCAAUACGGAUGGUGGCGACCGGCGCACGGGUGAGUAACGCGUAUGCAACCUGCCUACAACAGGGGAAUAACCCGUUGAAAGACGGACUAAUACCCCAUAACACAGGGAUCCCGCAUGGGAAUAUUUGUUAAAGAUUUAUCGGUUGUAGAUGGGCAUGCGUUCCAUUAGCUUGUUGGUGAGGUAACGGCUCACCAAGGCAACGAUGGAUAGGGGAACUGAGAGGUUUAUCCCCCACACUGGUACUGAGACACGGACCAGACUCCUACGGGAGGCAGCAGUGAGGAAUAUUGGUCAAUGGACGCAAGUCUGAACCAGCCACGUCGCGUGAAGGAAGACGGCCCUACGGGUUGUAAACUUCUUUUGUAAGGGAAUAAAGUGUAGUACGUGUACUAUUUUGCAUGUACCUUACGAAUAAGGAUCGGCUAACUCCGUGCCAGCAGCCGCGGUAAUACGGAGGAUCCGAGCGUUAUCCGGAUUUAUUGGGUUUAAAGGGUGCGCAGGCGGGAGAUUAAGUCGGCGGUGAAAUUUUGCAGCUCAACUGUAAAAGUGCCUUCGAAACUGGUUUCCUUGAGUGUGGAUGAAGUAGGCGGAAUUUGUGGUGUAGCGGUGAAAUGCAUAGAUAUCACGAGGAACUCCGAUUGCGCAGGCAGCUUACUAAACCAUAACUGACGCUCACGCACGAAAGGCGUGGGGAUCAAACAGGAUUAGAUACCCUGGUAGUC